This 1713-nucleotide long non-coding RNA is filed under the name Oryctolagus cuniculus (rabbit). RNAcentral describes it as "lncRNA (ENSOCUG00000034322.1)". Lineage: Eukaryota; Metazoa; Chordata; Mammalia; Lagomorpha; Leporidae. The record is from RNAcentral.
GCCGAAUCAGGGCCCCGAUCUCCAAGGACCCUGCCCGGGCACAACACAGGGUGGGGGUGGGGGACCCGCGCGCCGGCAACCCGCGUUCUCCGGAUUGCGCGCCCACGGGCAGCGAGCGCCCUCCGGAGGGCCGGGGCCGGGGCCCAGAACAGCCCCAUUCUCAGGAAAUCCGUUUGCUACCCCGUCGUGGGGAGAGAGGCAGAACUCAGGCGGAGGGAGAAGGAAAGCGCACGGGUGCAAACUGAAACCACUCGAGGGAUAGAAUUGACAAACCCCAGAAGCCACGGGCCGCGGCCCCAGAGCCGCUGGAGGGCCCAGAGCCCUUCCUGGCCACGACACGGUGCGCGCCUCCCCAGGAAGCUCCUGCAGAUCCCGCUGGCCAAGGGCCAAGGCCGGGAUCCCUUGCUUUCCUCCAGUGGUGCUGCUCACGGCGGCGUCUCCGAGGGCGCACGGGCCUCGUCCCCCGCGGCUGACAGCUCCCCAAACUGGUCCAGUCAGGGACUCUCUCGCUACACUCACUUUCCAGAUGGACUGAGGGGCUGGCAGGGGACCCGGCCAGAGGCUAGCGCUCCAGGGCAUCGGGGCUGGGCCAGAGCCCCUUGGAAAAAAGGCUGGGCUCGAGUUCGUUUGGAGACCACGAAAUGCCGAGCGCGGGGCAGGGGUCAGGUCCAGGACCGGGUCUUGGGAGGUGCAGUGAGAUACUGCCCUGCUGCAGCUCCCCAGGCUUGGAAUUCGUUGUUUUGCACCUGCGGGGCUCUGGACGAAACGAAAAUCCAGCCCCCUCUCUAAAGCAACGUGGAGACUCUGAUGCCGCCUGCUCCCCGGGGUCCAAGGAGCACAUCCAGGGUGUAACUGAGAGUGAACUGGGGCUUGGUCUUUCCCGCCCGCUCCCUGCUGCAACCCUUGCCUAGACCCGCUGGCCCGAGAAGGCGGGAGAGAAGGGGGCUGCCUGCUAUAAAGCCCGGGAGUGGUUGCGCGGUGCGGCCCAGGGUGGGAGCAGGAACCCGGGGCCGGGACACAGGCCGCCGCGUUUCGGGAGUGAAGGGGCCCAGGGAGCAGUGAGCUGGGAUCCGCCGGGGCGACUUUUCAUGCCCCGGGAGGGAGAACACUGCCUCCCCCUUGGCAGCCGGGGCCCAUAGCUUUGCGGCCACUCCUCGCCACAGACGUGCGCCCAUAUCAUGCAGGACGCGGGCUAAGCGUGGAGGGAAACGGUCAGGACAGCAGGCCCCGGCGGGGCCUUCACGGCGCCACAGGCCGCCCCAACGAAGUGCGACGCCCCAAGGCCUGCGCGAUUCUGUCACCUGCCUUUGAAGGGAGAGCGGAGAGAGCAACGGCACCGCCGGACUUAGCCGGCGGCGGGCCCGUGGGGGACUCCCUCCCGUCUGUCCCCAGCUUGGCACGGGAGACACCGAGGCCAGGACCAAAGCCGCACAGCGCUGGGAGCUGCAGAGGCCGCUGGCAGGGCCCCGACGGCAGCGGGAUCCCCCAGUGCUGUGCAGCCUCUUGGGUCAAAGCAGGCCAGGGCGCGCGGGCGCGGGGUGAGGGGAACUCGCUCCCGGAGGCUCCCCCGCGCCCAGAGGAGGGUGCAGGCGUCACGAGCGAGGAGCAGCAAGGCUUGGGGGAGCGAGAGAAGUGGCUGCAGACUCCGCGUCGCGCAGACGCGGCCCUUGCAGGUGGUGGCGAGUAGGUUCGCGCGCGACCCCCGCGCCCCCA